RNAcentral lists this ribosomal RNA (253 nucleotides) under uncultured bacterium. RNAcentral describes it as "partial 16S ribosomal RNA". It matches the Rfam family "Bacterial small subunit ribosomal RNA", at positions 524 to 776 of the family's 1533-position model. The record is from RNAcentral.
UCCGAAGGGUGCAAUCGUUGUUCGGAAUCACUGGGCUUAAAGCGUGCGCAGGCGGAUCAGCAAGUCAGGAGUGAAAUCCCCGGGCUCAACCCGGGAACUGCUUUUGAAACUAUUGAUCUAGAAUCCCGGAGGGGCCAGUAGAAUUCCGAGUGUAGAGGUGAAAUUCGCAGAUAUUCGGAGGAAUACCAGUGGCGUAGGCGACUGGCUGGACGGGUAUUGACGCUCAGGCACGAAAGCGUGGGGAGAAAACAGG